UACGUAGGGUGCGAGCGUUAAUCGGAUUUACUGGGCGUAAAGCGUGCGCAGGCGGCCCGUUAAGACAGGUGUGAAAUCCCUGGGCUCAACGUAGGAAUUGCGCUUGUGACUGGCGGGCUCGAGUACGGUAGAGGGGGGUGGAAUUCCUGGUGUAGCAGUGAAAUGCGUAGAGAUCAGGAGGAACACCGAUGGCGAAGGCAGCCCCCUGGGCCUGUACUGACGCUCAUGCACGAAAGCGUGGGGAGCAAACAGG
RNAcentral lists this ribosomal RNA (253 nucleotides) under uncultured microorganism. Its description in RNAcentral is "partial 16S ribosomal RNA". It matches the Rfam family "Bacterial small subunit ribosomal RNA", at positions 524 to 776 of the family's 1533-position model. The record is from RNAcentral.